AAAAAGGCAAACCCUGAAUUUCCGUGUCCAACUUUGACUGUCCGUCUUAUAUGAAAUUCUUUUAUAAUUCGUAUUUUCAUUAUUGUUAGAUGAUAAAACAUGAUUAAUAUUUUAUGCGUGACUUGUCUUUUUAAUUUUUUUCAUAAUUUUUUAAAUAAGACGGACGGUCAAACGUUAGGCACGGAAAUCAGGGUUUGUCUUUUU
Molecule: microRNA precursor, 204 nt
Filed under: Oryza glumipatula
Lineage: Eukaryota; Viridiplantae; Streptophyta; Magnoliopsida; Poales; Poaceae
Description: MIR812 microRNA precursor family
Rfam family: MIR812 microRNA precursor family
Source: Rfam by way of RNAcentral